AUUGCCCCAGUAACGGCGAGUGAAGCGGCAAUAGCUCAAAUUUGAAAUCUGGCUCUUUCAGGGUCCGAGUUGUAAUUUGCAGAGGGCGCUUUGGCGUCGGCAGCAGCCUAAGUUCCUUGGAACAGGUCAUCAUAGAGGGUGAGAAUCCCGUAUGUGGCUGCUUGUCUUCGCCGUGUAAAGCCCCUUCGAUGAGUCGAGUUGUUUGGGAAUGCAGCUCUAAAUGGGAGGUAAAUUUCUUCUAAAGCUAAAUAUUGGCCAGAGACCGAUAGCGCACAAGUAGAGUGAUCGAAAGAUGAAAAGCACUUUGGAAAGAGAGUCAAAAAGCACGUGAAAUUGUUGAAAGGGAAGCGCUUGCAGCCAGACGUGCCCGUAGUUGCUCAUCGGGGGUUCUCCCCCGUGUACUCUUCUAUGGGCAGGCCAGCAUCAGUCCGGGCGGUUGGAGAAAGACCUGUGUCAUGUAGCUGUUUUCGGGCAGUGUUAUAGGGCAGGUGGAAUGCAACCAGCCUGGACUGAGGUCCGCGCAUCUGCUAGGAUGCUGGCGUAAUGGCUGUAAGCGGCCCGUCUUGAAACACGGACCAAGGAGUCUAACAUCUAUGCGAGUGUUUGGGUGUCAAGCCCGAGCGCGUAAUGAAAGUGAACGGAGGUGGGAACCUUUUAGGUGCACCAUCGACCGAUCCUGAUGUCUUCGGAUGGAUUUGAGUAAGAGCAUAGCUGUUGGGACCCGAAAGAUGGUGAACUAUGCCUGAAUAGGGUGAAGCCAGAGGAAACUCUGGUGGAAGCUCGCAGCGGUUCUGACGUGCAAAUCGAUCGUCAAAUUUGGGCAUAGGGGCCGAAAGACUAAUCGAACUAUCUAGUAGCUGGUUCCUGCCGAA
Molecule: ribosomal RNA, 872 nt
Filed under: uncultured fungus
Lineage: Eukaryota; Fungi
Description: LSU rRNA
Rfam family: Eukaryotic large subunit ribosomal RNA
Source: RNAcentral